This 450-nucleotide ribosomal RNA is filed under the name uncultured bacterium. Its description in RNAcentral is "bacterial SSU rRNA". It matches the Rfam family "Bacterial small subunit ribosomal RNA", at positions 354 to 796 of the family's 1533-position model. The record is from RNAcentral.
GUGGGGAAUAUUGGACAAUGGGCGCAAGCCUGAUCCAGCAAUGCCGCGUGUGUGAAGAAGGCCUUCGGGUUGUAAAGCACUUUUGUCCGGAACGAAAAGCGACGGGUUAAUAACCAGUCGUGCUGACGGUACCGGUUGAAUAAGCACCGGCUAACUUCGUGCCAGCAGCCGCGGUAAUACGAAGGGUGCAAGCGUUAAUCGGAAUUACUGGGCGUAAAGGGUGCGUAGACGGUUUGUUAAGUCGGAUGUGAAAGCCCCGGGCUCAACCUGGGAAUGGCAUCUGAUACUGGCAGGCUAGAGUGCGAUAGAGGAUGGUGGAAUUCCCGGUGUAGCGGUGAAAUGCGUAGAGAUCGGGAGGAACAUCUGUGGCGAAGGCGGCCAUCUGGAUCAGCACUGACGUUGAGGCACGAAAGCGUGGGGAGCAAACAGGAUUAGAUACCCUUGUAGUCC